Molecule: ribosomal RNA, 494 nt
Filed under: uncultured bacterium
Lineage: Bacteria
Description: bacterial SSU rRNA
Rfam family: Bacterial small subunit ribosomal RNA
Source: RNAcentral
GAUGAACGCUAGCGGCAGGCUUAACACAUGCAAGUCGAGGGGUAUUGGUUUUCGGACCAAGAGACCGGCGCACGGGUGCGUAACGCGUAUGCAAUCUACCUUUUGCAGAGGGAUAGCCCCAGAGAAAUUUGGAUUAAUACCUCAUAGUAUAGUACUUUGGCAUCAAGGAACUAUUAAAGUCACAACGGCAAAAGAUGAGCAUGCGUCCCAUUAGCUAGUUGGUAAGGUAACGGCUUACCAAGGCUACGAUGGGUAGGGGUCCUGAGAGGGAGAUCCCCCCACACUGGUACUGAGACACGGACCAGACUCCUACGGGAGGCAGCAGUGAGGAAUAUUGGACAAUGGGCGCAAGCCUGAUCCAGCCAUGCCGCGUGCAGGAUGACGGUCCUAUGGAUUGUAAACUGCUUUUGUACAGGAAGAAACACUGGUUCGUGAACCAGCUUGACGGUACUGUAAGAAUAAGGAUCGGCUAACUCCGUGCCAGCAGCCGCGGU